This 1703-nucleotide long non-coding RNA is filed under the name Olea europaea subsp. europaea. The record is from RNAcentral. Lineage: Eukaryota; Viridiplantae; Streptophyta; Magnoliopsida; Lamiales; Oleaceae.
UGGAAGAAUAUUUUGGCUUGUAAGAAGGGAUAAGUACUUGUUCUUUCCUUGACUCAAUUACCUGUAUUCUUUUCUUGUUCAUAUUGUCUUACCAUUUACUUAUAAAUAGAUGCAGACAAUUGAACUCUUUAAUUCACUUCUACACCAUUUCACAGUCACUUGUAAAAUUGUUUUUCACUUUCUUUGAUUACACCUUCCCCUUAUAUGUUAACGCCACACGAACAUAUUCUUCCUCUUGAAGCAUAAUGACCAGCUAGAAAAUGGUGACAGCGACAAUGAGAUUGCAUCCACACAAAUAGAAAUAAAAGUGGAUCUUGACAAGGCGAAAGAAGUGUUUACUCGACUAGAAGAGUUGGAAGAUGCAAUCAUUGAAACGUUCAUGUCUUUGAAAAACAACAUUAUUCAUGACAGAACCGAAGAGGCAAGCAAAAAUCUCAGGGCCUUAAUCAGAACGAGCAAAGAAAUCAACAAGAUCAAGUUUGAUCAUUUUCCAAAAACAGAAGCAAAUACACCAUUUUGUCAUCCAUUAUGAGAAUAAAAAGAUGUCAGAAAAUUGGUUGAGUUUGCAAAUUGUAGAAAACCUUCUUUCUCCUAUGAUGUCUAAACUUCAGCAGGAUUAUGAUAUUCUACCUCUAAACUUUAGGUUUUAUUUGUUGACUACUGCAGUUUCCCUGACAAAUUUAUUGGCGUAUUAGUGAGGGCUGUGUCACCAAAUUUACACUAUAACUGCUUGGGAAAUGGUCGAAAUUUCUUUGGGGAACAAACUACCAUCUCUGUAUUAUGAGUCCAUGGAUCCGUCAUCCAUAUAACGUUUGACAUCCAUGGCUGACAGUCCAACUUCUUCAAUUUAGCCCUAUAGGGAACAUAACCAUGAAUUAUGUUCACUCUGCUUGGCUCAUUCUGGUCUUUGAAUGAUAAUAUUAGAGAAGACUGAUCACCAUAUUCAGUGGACACAAGAAAUAUCUGAGUCUUUCGAGGAAGAUUUCUUUUCAAAGAUUUGCGAAUCUGAAGGUUCUUCUACUUGGAAGUUGGCACGUUUUUCCUCAUCAUCAGAUUGAGAUAGAAAACUGCAAGGGUUAGAUAAAGACACAAAAGCAAUUAACACAUCCUAACCUAAGUGAGAUUACCAGUCUUCCCGACUCUUUGGCUGAGUGCCUGCAUAAAUCUGGACCUCGAUACGCAAUAAUUUGAGAAAGCUUAACAUAUUUCAGCAUGUCCGAAUGUUACUUCCAUGCCCAGUAACUUCACCUGCUCCAGGUUUUCAAGGCCAAGAAUUAUGGAAUCUCUGAAUAUCAUGAGUAGUAAAAUCUCAACUUUCCAUGAUCCGGAAUUAGUACGCCAUCUUGGAGACGAAGUAUCCCUCCUUUUAUGUACAACUUUUUCAAUUUUUUUUGGGAAAGCAAAUUAUUAGUUGUAGUUUCUCUAAUCUGGCAUGUUCAUCUAAUUAUUUGCAUACAUUUCGUUUUACAUUCCUCCAUGUUAAAGCAAGGACUCAAAGGAAGAGAGGAAAAACGAAAUGUAUGCAAAUAAUUUGAUGAACAUGCCCUGAUUAGAGAAACUACAACUCAUAAGUUGCUUUCCCCGAAUAUUUGAAAAAGCUGUACAUAAAAGGAAGCAUACAUUGUCUCCAAGAUAGCCUACUAAUUCCGGAACAUGGAAAGUUGAGAUCUUAUUCAGCAUUAGUUUCCCAAUCUCUUAUGCUU